This 253-nucleotide ribosomal RNA is filed under the name uncultured bacterium. Its description in RNAcentral is "partial 16S ribosomal RNA". It matches the Rfam family "Bacterial small subunit ribosomal RNA", at positions 524 to 776 of the family's 1533-position model. The record is from RNAcentral.
UACGUAGGGUGCAAGCGUUAAUCGGAAUUACUGGGCGUAAAGCGUGCGCAGGCGGUUCGCUAAGACAGAUGUGAAAUCCCCGGGCUUAACCUGGGAACUGCAUUUGUGACUGGCGGGCUAGAGUAUGGCAGAGGGGGGUAGAAUUCCACGUGUAGCAGUGAAAUGCGUAGAGAUGUGGAGGAAUACCGAUGGCGAAGGCAGCCCCCUGGGCCAAUACUGACGCUCAUGCACGAAAGCGUGGGGAGAAAACAGG